This is a long non-coding RNA of Drosophila willistoni, 990 nucleotides long. RefSeq lists it as uncharacterized. The record is from RefSeq and is a predicted model, not a curated record. NCBI's taxonomy places the organism in Eukaryota, Metazoa, Arthropoda, Insecta, Diptera, Drosophilidae. The transcript is spliced from 4 exons.
UAAAAGUGUCAAAAGCGCGUAAAUAAAAAAUACGUAUCAAAAUUUAAAUAUUCACAUUAUAGUUCUUGUAUUUUAAGUAAAUAAACAUAUAUACACAAAUGCAUAGACAAAUAACAAUAGCUAAAGUGACAGUAAUGUUAAUUAAACCUACAUUCUAACGAUAAAUGGAAAAUGCCUGGCACAAAUUUGGCUGUGUAAAAAGGAUGGAUCAAUCAAAGCAAAGACACUCAUCUGAUGUUAGUUCGGAUCAGUAGAUACUAAACUAUUUAUUCAAUUGUCUCUCAAGAGCUUUGAAAACUACGUGAUGAGCAGGCUUAAACAUUUGUAUUGAACGUGCCUGGCCUCAAAGUGCUGAAUAUAUCGACGAACAAACGAAGAAACAACCAAAAAACGAGAAAACACAAAACAAAAAUCAAAACACAUAAAACAAACAACAAAUAAGUGAAUUCCGACUAAAGCAAAGAGAGUGAAGUAAAGUGACCAAAGAGGAACCUGGAAAAAUUGAUCCGAAAUCAAGAAAAGAACAAGCAAUAGUAGAAAUAGUAGGGAUAGAAGUUGGGGGAUCAACUGAUCCUGUCUGCAUAUUGAAUUACACAACAAGAAGAGGACAGAGGCAGGCAAAUGAUGAUGGCUCGACGUUUAGUUUUUAGCUACCUGCACAAACAGAGGUUCUUAAAAAAAAAGAAGAAACUUAGCUCGUUAAGAGGACAGGCGCCUGCCCACUAAUUGGUUUUGAUUCAGCUUCUAUUGCAGCACAUUUGUCGGCUAAAACCAAGACGUAAAACGACGAGAGAUCGGCCAAAACCCACACCUAAAGGGAAGAAAGAGACAACUAGCGUCUCUAAACGGUACAAGUAAGAGGAAGAUGAGCCUACGAGAUGCAUUGCUUAUGAAGUGUUUGAAUUUAUAAGACGAUCUAGUAGUGUAAAAGAGACAGAAUUAUAUAAUUUCUAGGCGUCUAAUACAAAAUAAAAAUGCUUAAGUCAAACA